UUUACUGACAACUCUGCUAUGUACCAGGAUAUUUGUGCAAUACUGAUGAAAGCACCACAUGGACCCUCCAUUGUGGAGAGUCUAGAGAGUAAUAAAAUUACCAUCAAGCAAAGGCGUGCAAUGGUGCGAAUUACUGUUUCUUAUCUUAUUGAGAAAUAUGGCGAAACGUGAGUAUAAAUAAGUUGUAUUUGCAUGUAUUUUCACCCAAAUCAAGACAGAAUGAGACUAUUUUGAAACAAUGUUUUUCUUUCUUAUUUGGCAAUCAUAAUACAGACCAUCAGCAGAGACCAAAAAGGCAAUGGCCAUGUCUCUAGUAGAGACAUUUCCCUGUCUCCGUGACCCUGAAGGAAAUGGCUUUGAGGCCUGGUUCAGCCAGGGGCGAAAACACAGGCCUUCCACAGGAUUUCUUGAGGAGCGCCUUCGCAACAUAAGAAAGAGGAUGCGGAGAUUAAGAACACAGCCCUCCGUAGUGCCUGUCUGUGAGGAGAGGUUGACUUUCAUUCCUACAUCAACUUUGUCUACUGAGAGAGCAAUUCAGUUAAAAGAAUGGCUAAAAAAACAAUACCAGACCACAGGACCAGGUUGAGCAGUACAUGAAAGCAACUGCUCUUUUUAGGGCUAACUGGAUUCGCCAGAACAGCUCCAAACCAAUAUCUGAGAUUUUAUCAGAGUUCCCUCGUCUAAUGGAUACCCCAGGCAUGAUAUCUCAAGACUUUAGUGUACUUCACCCUGAUGCUGCUGACAAAUUGUGCUCAUCCUGGUUGCCUGACUUUGCUGACAAGAUCCUGGCCUUUGCUAAAAGAGAUGGACGACAAAUGGAUUUACUGAAUUUAGACAACAUGUCUGCAGAUACCAAAGGCAC
Long non-coding RNA from Myxocyprinus asiaticus (Chinese sucker), 862 nucleotides. RefSeq lists it as uncharacterized. The transcript has 5 exons. NCBI's taxonomy places the organism in Eukaryota, Metazoa, Chordata, Actinopteri, Cypriniformes, Catostomidae. The record is from RefSeq and is a predicted model, not a curated record.